Molecule: ribosomal RNA, 127 nt
Filed under: uncultured bacterium
Lineage: Bacteria
Description: partial 16S ribosomal RNA
Rfam family: Bacterial small subunit ribosomal RNA
Source: RNAcentral
GGGCCCGCACAAGCGGCGGAGCGUGCUCUUUAAUUCGUCGCAACGCGAAGAACCUUACCAAGGCUUGACAUGGACCUGCAUCCCCGGGAAACCGGGUGGCCUUCGAGGGUGGUCCACAGGUGCUGCA